AGCAGCCGCGGUAAUUCCAGCUCCAAUAGCGUAUAUUAAAGUUGUUGCAGUUAAAAAGCUCGUAGUUGAAUUUUGGGUUUGGCCAAUUGGUCCGUUCUUGUAACGAGUACUGGUUGGUUGGGCCUCACCGCCUGGUGAUACGUAAUGUCCUUUAUUGGGUGUUGCGAGUAGCCAGGACCUUUACCUUGAAAAAAAUUAGAGUGUUUAAAGCAGGCUUAUGCCGGAAUACAUUAGCAUGGAAUAAUAGAAUAGGACGAUGAUUCUAUUUUGUUGGUUUCUAGGAGCAUCGUAAUGAUUAAUAGGGAUAGUUGGGGGCAUUAGUAUUCAAUUGUCAGAGGUGAAAUUCUUGGAUUUAUUGAAGACUAACUACUGCGAAAGCAUUUGCCAAGGAUGUUUUCAUUAAUCAAGAACGAAAGUUAGGGGAUCGAAGACGAUCAGAUACCGUCGUAGUCUUAACCAUAAACUAUGCCGACUAGGGAUCGGGCGAUGUUGUUUCAAUGACUCGCUCGGCACCUUAUGG
This 520-nucleotide unclassified non-coding RNA is filed under the name uncultured Archaeospora. RNAcentral describes it as "SSU rRNA". It matches the Rfam family "Eukaryotic small subunit ribosomal RNA", at positions 569 to 1093 of the family's 1831-position model. The record is from RNAcentral. Lineage: Eukaryota; Fungi; Glomeromycota; Glomeromycetes; Archaeosporales; Archaeosporaceae.